AGAGUUUGAUUAUGGCUCAGGAUGAACGCUAGCGACAGGCCUAACACAUGCAAGUCGAGGGGCAGCGGGGGAGAGAGCUUGCUCUCUCCUGCCGGCGACCGGCGCACGGGUGAGUAACGCGUAUGCGACCUGCCCUGCACAGUGGGAUAACCCGGAGAAAUCCGGACUAAUACCGCAUGCCCCCGCGGGGCUGCAUGGCUCCGCGGGGAAAGGAGGCGACUCCGGUGCAGGAUGGGCAUGCGUGACAUUAGCUAGUCGGCGGGGUAACGGCCCACCGAGGCGACGAUGUCUAGGGGUUCUGAGAGGAAGGUCCCCCACACUGGUACUGAGACACGGACCAG
This 341-nucleotide ribosomal RNA is filed under the name uncultured bacterium. RNAcentral describes it as "bacterial SSU rRNA". It matches the Rfam family "Bacterial small subunit ribosomal RNA", at positions 8 to 334 of the family's 1533-position model. The record is from RNAcentral.